CGAGGUGGAAGCAUGGUGACAUGUGGAGCUGACGAAUACUAAUAGAUCGAGGACUUAACCAUA
Molecule: ribosomal RNA, 63 nt
Filed under: Bacillus anthracis (anthrax bacterium)
Lineage: Bacteria; Bacillati; Bacillota; Bacilli; Caryophanales; Bacillaceae
Also listed under: 2 other names
Description: partial 23S ribosomal RNA
Source: RNAcentral